This 379-nucleotide ribosomal RNA is filed under the name uncultured eukaryote. Its description in RNAcentral is "partial 18S ribosomal RNA". It matches the Rfam family "Eukaryotic small subunit ribosomal RNA", at positions 592 to 976 of the family's 1831-position model. The record is from RNAcentral.
CAAUAGCGUAUAUUUAAGUUGUUGCAGUUAAAAAGCUCGUAGUUGGAUUUCGGACGGGAUUUGCCGGUCCGUCGUUACGAUGUGCACUGGCCAGUCCUAUCUUGUUGUCGGGGACUAGCUCCUUGGAUUCACUUCCUGGGACUAGGAGCUGACGAGGUUACUUUGAGUAAAUUAGAGUGUUCAAAGCAAGCCUACGCUCUGAAUACAUUAGCAUGGAAUAACACGAUAGGACUCUGGCUUAUCUUGUUGGUCUGUGAGACCAGAGUAAUGAUUAAGAGGGACAGUCGGGGACAUUCGUAUUUCAUUGUCAGAGGUGAAAUUCUUGGAUUUAUGAAAGACGAACUUCUGCGAAAGCAUUUGUCAAGGAUGUUUUCAUUAA